UUGUUUGUUUUGCGAGGAUACGCGUUACACAGACGGAGGUGACACUCAAACACACCGCUGUGUAACAGAAGAGCGACACCUCGGGUUUUGCAAAAAAACCAUCUCCAAGCCUUCGGGUUGGCAGCGAGUGUCAGAACGUUCUGUUUUGAAAAACUCUGGCAGUGGCAGAAGAAUAGACAAAUUCUAAUGGAAGCUCGACGUCUACAGAUAGACUCUCCAUAGAUGGGAUUCUAAAGGUAUAGGAAUAAAUAAAUAAAACCUUUCGCGUGUAACUAAGGCGAAGAAAUUCAUCCCUUCCCACCCUGCUGCAGCCGCCGGGUGAAAGGCGCACUAUGAUGCUCCCGGGGUCCCCUUCUGUCACCGUUCUGUCCAGGCGCUUACGGCACCACCGCAGGUUUCCGUCCCCCACAGCAAUCGCUUCCCAUUUCCUCGUUGUUCCAAGCCCUGCCCGCCCGAGGCACCUCUUGAAGUUCAGCAUGGGGGGAACUCUUUACACCUAGUGCCGAGCGUCGCUGUGUGAAAGCUACCUCUCCUCCAGCAGUACCCCGCUGGCUGGUCUUUAAGAUCUAUCUUUAGGGGGAGUUCCCCGAAGUCUCUGCAAGGAACAGAGAUGCGGAUUUUAAACGCGGUCCACUUCGACUCGCGCAGUGCCUGCAUACCUGCUGCAAUAGAAGGGAGCGAUACUCACCCGAGUGUGUGCGGACAGCCCAGAGGUCCCUGCAGCACCCGCGUCCUCAGUGGAAUACCAUCUUGCAUCCGCGGCAGCUCCCAGCCUACACUCGAUGUUAACAUUUACGCUAUCUCAAAUACCAGGCUCUCCCAUAGACAUUUUUCCAGGGUUUUCAAGCAAAUUUCUCGGUGCCAUAAUGUUAUGAUGGAAGGAUGCUGAAAUGACAGGCCUCGUAGACGCUUGUCUUAAUCAUCGGCUUCUUAAUUUAGUUUUAGUGCUGUGGUUUUGUGUGUGCGCGUGUGUGUCUGCGCGUGUGUGCGCGCAAGAGAAGGCUCUGACAACCUGCAGCUUCCUAAUGACUGACGAGGCAGGGCUGCUGCAGCAAAGUAACACUUCCCUGGUGUGAAGACCUCUCACUGGGAAGUUUAGUUCACUACUGUUCUCGCAAUGCUAAUCGUAUAACCUGUAACCAAAACCCAGGCAAGAAGGAUACAGCAUGCUAAAUAGAGUAACUUCUAAUCACUAAACGUUAGCACCACGGCCAGCUGUUAGGGAUUAACUGAAAGUCGGUUAGAGACAGACACCUAAACUUAAAUAUACAAACGCGAUGUAAGGGUGGACCGCCGAAUACUUCUUCCUCUCUCUCUUUGCCUCCAUUCAUUCCUCCACCUCCAGUCCCAUUCACCCCUCUUCAAUCUGUAUGACCACCUCUCGCCUUUGUUAGCGCUCGUUCCGGCCCCGCUCGCCCUGCCCGAGCAGCGGGAUGUCGCUGCCUGCUGAGCUGCUCUUACCUUAAUUGCCCAGGUAACCUGGAAUAAAUAAGACAAGCUUAGAAUCUGGGGGAUAGAGCUAUAAAUGCGCACAUCCAGGCAUUUACUGUACCCAACGCGAUAUUAGAGGUUGUUAAUCUAAGGUGUCCCGACUCGUUUCGUGGACACAUGAUGCCAUCGAAGCGUGGUUAUUAAAUACUCUUUAUUCAUGGCUGAAAAAACCCUCAUUCAUUCCUUAAGCUGUCAGGACAUUUUAACUGCUUAACCCCUUGGAAGAGCCUGGGAGUACAGAGCCGCUGUAUUUGCGUGAAGGGAGACUGGAGGCUGGAGCCGUGGGGGGGCCACAACAUAUCUGCAUCCAUCGAGCUGACAGUGGUACACUUUCCGUUUGGCCCUUUACUUAAAAAAAAACAUGCAGGGAAAAAUCUGCGGUGAAACAUUAUCAGUAAGAGUUGCACCCAGAAUCUGUAUUCAAACUGCACGGCAACCCUUCAGAUGGCAUUUGAGCCGGGGGUCCUCGGAGCAGUACUCCCUCAGCCCCACAGCGCCACGAGCCCCUGAGGGUGGGGAGCACAGAGCUGCCCCUCCUCGCACGACCCGUGCCCCGCCAGGCUGGGGCCGUGCAUUCCCUUCUCCGUUCAGGCUGUUUCUCCAGGCACUCCACCAAAAUUUUCAUGCUAGCAAGUGCUAAAUUUCUGGACCCUCUCACAGGAAUUCGAGUGCAGACGGAGCUGAGAGGGUCAAACCAGCCACUUAUUCAGGGUCACCAUUUAUAAAGCUACUACUGAAGUGGACGGGAGCUGCGACCAGGUCAGAGCCAACAGAAGAACUGGCGUUAGAGCAGGAUUUCGAGCGUUCAAAGCCAAUAGUCCCACUUUUAUACAUGAGGAAUUAUUAU
This is a non-coding RNA of Coturnix japonica (Japanese quail), 2338 nucleotides long. The record is from RefSeq and is a predicted model, not a curated record. Lineage: Eukaryota; Metazoa; Chordata; Aves; Galliformes; Phasianidae.